UACGAAGGGGGCUAGCGUUGCUCGGAAUCACUGGGCGUAAAGCGCACGUAGGCGGAUCUUUAAGUCAGGGGUGAAAUCCCGGAGCUCAACUCCGGAACUGCCUUUGAUACUGAGGGUCUUGAGUCCGGGAGAGGUGAGUGGAACUGCGAGUGUAGAGGUGAAAUUCGUAGAUAUUCGCAAGAACACCAGUGGCGAAGGCGGCUCACUGGCCCGGUACUGACGCUGAGGUGCGAAAGCGUGGGGAGCAAACAGG
Molecule: ribosomal RNA, 253 nt
Filed under: uncultured bacterium
Lineage: Bacteria
Description: partial 16S ribosomal RNA
Rfam family: Bacterial small subunit ribosomal RNA
Source: RNAcentral